This 253-nucleotide ribosomal RNA is filed under the name uncultured bacterium. RNAcentral describes it as "partial 16S ribosomal RNA". It matches the Rfam family "Bacterial small subunit ribosomal RNA", at positions 524 to 776 of the family's 1533-position model. The record is from RNAcentral.
GACGAACCGUGCGAGCGUUGUUCGGAAUCACUGGGCUUAAAGGGCGCGUAGGCGGCUCGUCACGUCAGGGGUGAAAUCCCGCGGCUCAACCGUGGAAGUGCCUUUGAUACUGGUGGUCUCGAGGGAGGUAGGGGCGUGUGGAACUUCCGGUGGAGCGGUGAAAUGCGUAGAUAUCAGGAGGAACACCGGUGGCGAAGGCGGGUCUCUGGGCCGAUACUGACGCUGAGGAGCGAAAGCGUGGGGAGCAAACAGG